RNAcentral lists this ribosomal RNA (481 nucleotides) under uncultured bacterium. RNAcentral describes it as "bacterial SSU rRNA". It matches the Rfam family "Bacterial small subunit ribosomal RNA", at positions 15 to 518 of the family's 1533-position model. The record is from RNAcentral.
GAUCAUGGCUCAGAACGAACGCUGGCGGCAUGGAUUAGGCAUGCAAGUCGAACGGUGCAGCAAUGCAUAGUGGCGCAAGGGUGAGGAACGCGUGAGUAACCUGCCCUCAAGUUGGGAACAGCUUCUGGAAACGGAAAUUAAUACCGAAUGUGACCAUAAGGAGGCAUCUUUUUAUGGUUAAGGCCGCAAGGUCGCUUGAGGAGGGGCUCGCGUCCCAUUAUGCUGGUUGGUGAGGUAACGGCCCACCAAGGCGAAGAUGGGUAGCUGGUCUGAGAGGACGAUCAGCCACACUGGGACUGAGAACUGCCCAGACUCCUACGGGAGGCUGCAGUCGAGAAUUUUGGGCAAUGGACGAAAGUCUGACCCAGCCAAUGCCGCGUGCGGGAUGAAGGUCUUCGGAUUGUAAACCGCUGUCAAGUGGGACGAAACAAGUGACGGUACCGCUGAAGGAAGUCACGGCUAACUACGUGCCAGCAGCCGC